AACAAUGCGGGUGCUAUAAUGCAAGUCGUGCGGACCUUUUAAAAGCUUGCUUUUAAAAGGUUAGCGGCGGACGGGUGAGUAACACGUGGGCAACCUGCCUGUAAGAUCGGGAUAACGCCGGGAAACCGGGGCUAAUACCGGAUAGUUUUUUCCUCCGCAUGGAGGAAAAAGGAAAGACGGCUUCGGCUGUCACUUACAGAUGGGCCCGCGGCGCAUUAGCUAGUUGGUGGGGUAACGGCUCACCAAGGCAACGAUGCGUAGCCGACCUGAGAGGGUGAUCGGCCACAUUGGGACUGAGACACGGCCCAAACUCCUACGGGAGGCAGCAGUAGGGAAUCUUCCGCAAUGGACGAAAGUCUGACGGAGCAACGCCGCGUGAGUGAAGAAGGCCUUCGGGUCGUAAAACUCUGUUGCCGGGGAAGAACAAGUGCCGUUCGAACAGGGCGGCGCCUUGACGGUACCCGGCCAGAAAGCCACGGCUAACUACGUGCCAGCAGCCGCGGUAAUACGUAGGUGGCAAGCGUUGUCCGGAAUUAUUGGGCGUAAAGCGCGCGCAGGCGGCUUCUUAAGUCUGAUGUGAAAUCUUGCGGCUCAACCGCAAGCGGUCAUUGGAAACUGGGAGGCUUGAGUGCAGAAGAGGAGAGUGGAAUUCCACGUGUAGCGGUGAAAUGCGUAGAGAUGUGGAGGAACACCAGUGGCGAAGGCGGCUCUCUGGUCUGUAACUGACGCUGAGGCGCGAAAGCGUGGGGAGCAAACAGGAUUAGAUACCCUGGUAGUCCACGCCGUAAACGAUGAGUGCUAAGUGUUAGAGGGUUUCCGCCCUUUAGUGCUGCAGCUAACGCAUUAAGCACUCCGCCUGGGGAGUACGGCCGCAAGGCUGAAACUCAAAGGAAUUGACGGGGGCCCGCACAAGCGGUGGAGCAUGUGGUUUAAUUCG
This 937-nucleotide ribosomal RNA is filed under the name Heyndrickxia coagulans. Its description in RNAcentral is "bacterial SSU rRNA". It matches the Rfam family "Bacterial small subunit ribosomal RNA", at positions 32 to 953 of the family's 1533-position model. The record is from RNAcentral. Lineage: Bacteria; Bacillati; Bacillota; Bacilli; Caryophanales; Bacillaceae.